GAUGAACGCUGGCGGCGUGCCUAAUACAUGCAAGUCGAGCGAACGGUCGAUAAGCUUGCUUCUCUGAUCUUAGCGGCGGACGUGCGAGUAACACGUUGAUAACCUACCUAUCUGACUGGGAUAACUUCGGGAAACCGGAGCUAAUACCGUAUAAUAUUUUGAACCUCAUGGUUCCAAAGUGAAAGACGGUCUUGCUGUCACUUAUAGAUGGAUCCGCGCUGCAUUAGCUAGUUGGUAAGGUAACGGCUUACCAAGGCAACGAUGCAUAGCCGACCUGAGAGGGUGAUCGGCCACACUGGAACUGGAACACGGUCCAGACUCCUACGGGAGGCAGCAGUAGGGAAUCUUCCGCAAUGGGCGAAGGCCUGACGGAGCAACGCCGCGUGAGUGAUGAAGGUCUUCGGAUCGUAAAACUCUGUUAUUAGGGAAGAACAUAUGUGUAAGUAACUGUGCACAUCGUGACGGUACCUAAUCAGAAAGCCACGGCUAACUACGUG
Molecule: ribosomal RNA, 497 nt
Filed under: uncultured bacterium
Lineage: Bacteria
Description: partial 16S ribosomal RNA
Rfam family: Bacterial small subunit ribosomal RNA
Source: RNAcentral